This 423-nucleotide ribosomal RNA is filed under the name uncultured bacterium. Its description in RNAcentral is "bacterial SSU rRNA". It matches the Rfam family "Bacterial small subunit ribosomal RNA", at positions 207 to 622 of the family's 1533-position model. The record is from RNAcentral.
AAGACCUUGCGCUUUUGGAGCGGCCGAUGCCUGAUUAGCUUGUUGGUAAGGUAAAGGCUUACCAAGGCUUCGAUCAGUAGCUGGUCUGAGAGGACGGCCAGCCACACUGGGACUGAGACACGGCCCAGACUCCUACGGGAGGCAGCAGUGGGGAAUUUUGGACAAUGGGGGAAACCCUGAUCCAGCCAUGCCGCGUGAGUGAAGAAGGCCUUCAGGUUGUAAAGCUCUUUCAGCCGGAACGAAACGGUUACGGAUAAUACCCGUGACUACUGACGGUACCGGAAGAAGAAGCACCGGCUAACUACGUGCCAGCAGCCGCGGUAAUACGUAGGGUGCGAGCGUUAAUCGGAAUUACUGGGCGUAAAGCGUGCGCAGGUGGUUUUGUAAGUCAGAUGUGAAAGCCCCGGGCUCAACCUGGGAACU